Molecule: long non-coding RNA, 394 nt
Filed under: Homo sapiens (human)
Lineage: Eukaryota; Metazoa; Chordata; Mammalia; Primates; Hominidae
Description: HSALNT0026835
Source: RNAcentral
CUGGCCUUCCCUCUAAGGCCCCAAGAGGGAGCUCCUGAAUCGUAUUUGCAUAUGGGAAAGCUGAAGUGGCUGGCAUUGUGCAACUGGACUGAGGGACUCGGUUGUAGUAAGUAAAAGCAGAUUGUAAUACACAGCGUCGGCUCAUCACUAUUGUGCUACUUGAAAUGUACUUACAAGUAGCCCUUUAAAGAGAUUAUGAAGAAAUAACUGUGCUACUCACCUUUUCUUUCAAGAGAAGCCAAAGGGAAUGAGCAACUCUGCUCUUUCUUCACUGGGUAAAGGGCUCAAAGGGCUCAAUUACUUUUUUUUUUUUUUUUUUUUUUUGAGAUGGAGUUUCACUCUUAUUGCCAGGCUGGAGUGCAAUAGUGCGAUCCCGGCUCACCGCAACCUCUGC